This is a small nucleolar RNA of Chrysemys picta bellii (western painted turtle), 80 nucleotides long. NCBI's taxonomy places the organism in Eukaryota, Metazoa, Chordata, Testudines, Emydidae. The record is from Ensembl.
GGGGUCUGUGAUGAUGCUCUCGGUGUUCGAGUCUCACGACCGUGAGAACACCCCAUCCAUGCACUACCAUCUGAGACUGC